Molecule: non-coding RNA, 32 nt
Filed under: Ditylum brightwellii
Lineage: Eukaryota; Bacillariophyta; Thalassiosirophyceae; Lithodesmiales; Lithodesmiaceae
Source: RNAcentral
AGGCUUGGAAGGAAGCAGCAGCAGCGGUAUCU